RNAcentral lists this ribosomal RNA (719 nucleotides) under uncultured Staphylococcus sp. Its description in RNAcentral is "bacterial SSU rRNA". It matches the Rfam family "Bacterial small subunit ribosomal RNA", at positions 63 to 764 of the family's 1533-position model. The record is from RNAcentral. Lineage: Bacteria; Bacillati; Bacillota; Bacilli; Caryophanales; Staphylococcaceae.
CGAGCGAACAGAUAAGGAGCUUGCUCCUUUGACGUUAGCGGCGGACGGGUGAGUAACACGUGGGUAACCUACCUAUAAGACUGGAAUAACUCCGGGAAACCGGGGCUAAUGCCGGAUAACAUGUUGAACCGCAUGGUUCUACAGUGAAAGGCGGCUUUGCUGUCACUUAUAGAUGGACCCGCGCCGUAUUAGCUAGUUGGUGAGGUGACGGCUCACCAAGGCAACGAUACGUAGCCGACCUGAGAGGGUGAUCGGCCACACUGGAACUGAGACACGGUCCAGACUCCCACGGGAGGCAGCAGUAGGGAAUCUUCCGCAAUGGGCGAAAGCCUGACGGAGCAACGCCGCGUGAGUGAUGAAGGUCUUCGGAUCGUAAAACUCUGUUAUUAGGGAAGAACAAAUGCGUAAGUAACUGUGCGCGUCUUGACGGUACCUAAUCAGAAAGCCACGGCUAACUACGUGCCAGCAGCCGCGGUAAUACGUAGGUGGCAAGCGUUAUCCGGAAUUAUUGGGCGUAAAGCGCGCGUAGGCGGUUUUUUAAGUCUGAUGUGAAAGCCCACGGCUCAACCGUGGAGGGUCAUUGGAAACUGAAAAACUUGAGUGCAGAAGAGGAAAGUGGAAUUCCAUGUGUAGCGGUGAAAUGCGCAGAGAUAUGGAGGAACUCCAGUGGCGAAGGCGACUUUCUGGUCUGUAACUGACGCUGAUGUGCGAAAGCGUGG